AUUGAACGCUGGCGGCAGGCCUAACACAUGCAAGUCGAGCGGAUGACGGGAGCUUGCUCCUUGAUUCAGCGGCGGACGGGGGAGUAAUGCCUAGGAAUCUGCCUGGUAGGGGGGGACAACGUUUCGAAAGUAACGCUAAUACCGCAUACGUCCUCCGGGAGAAAGCGGGGGACCUUCGGGCCUUGCGCUAUCAGAUGAGCCUAGGUCGGAUUAGCUAGUUGGUGGGGGAAUGGCUCACCAAGGCGACGAUCCGUAACUGGUCUGAGAGGAUGAUCAGUCACACUGGAACUGAGACACGGUCCAGACUCCUACGGGAGGCAGCAGUGGGGAAUAUUGGACAAUGGGCGAAAGCCUGAUCCAGCCAUGCCGCGUGUGUGAAGAAGGUCUUCGGAUUGUAAAAGCACUUUAAGUUGGGAGGAAGGGCAGUAAGCUAAUACCUUGCUGUUUUGACGUUACCGACAGAAUAAGCACCGGCUAACUCUGUGCCAGCCGCCGCCGUAA
RNAcentral lists this ribosomal RNA (501 nucleotides) under uncultured bacterium. Its description in RNAcentral is "partial 16S ribosomal RNA". It matches the Rfam family "Bacterial small subunit ribosomal RNA", at positions 30 to 523 of the family's 1533-position model. The record is from RNAcentral.